This 67-nucleotide transfer RNA is filed under the name Gonopsimorpha nigrosignata. RNAcentral's name for it is "tRNA-Leu". The record is from RNAcentral. Lineage: Eukaryota; Metazoa; Arthropoda; Insecta; Hemiptera; Pentatomidae.
ACUAUUUUGGCAGAGAUUAUGCAAUAAAUUUAGAAUUUAUAUAUGUAAUGUAUAAUUACAAAUAGUA